GUGUGACAUAGUGGUUAGAGUGUUGGGUUAGGAGCUGAGAGACCAAGGUUCAAAUCCCUGCUUAGCCA
Non-coding RNA from Podarcis lilfordi (Lilford's wall lizard), 68 nucleotides. NCBI's taxonomy places the organism in Eukaryota, Metazoa, Chordata, Lepidosauria, Squamata, Lacertidae. The record is from the annotation of a GenBank genome assembly.